AUCUGCUUCAUGUAUUCUGUAUUUUUUUAUAUUCUUCACCAAAUGGUUCUCUCCUGUGUUUGAAUUCCUCCCUUCUUCAGUCUGCAUCUGCUUGAGGGGUGCUUAGUAUCUCUUUUAUUGAUCUUCUUAUAUCUUGCUUUAUUUGGCUAAAUAUCUCACUUUUGAACUCAUCUAUGAGGUCUCGAAUAUAUCUCUUUAUGUCCACUGGUUUUGUGUCUGAUAUUGCAUGUUUGCUGUUCUCAUUCUCCUUUGUAUUUACCUGUCCUGGGUCAAUGUUAUCAAGGUUGGAGCCUGGGGACUUCCUCUUCCCAUCUUUUCUUUGCUUCUUCCAGGAGGCCCCAGUUUCUUUCUUUGUUGGUUACAAUUCUUCUGAAGUGCGCUGGCUAGAUGACCUUUCACACUGCAGUGUGUUAGUGAGUUGCAGACAGAGAUUACAUAUGCUGGCUCCUCCCCUCCAGUUUAGUCAAGCUGCUGUGGCCAGCACUACUGUAUUACUUUGUGCUGCCUCCCUCCAGACCAGUCACUGGGCCAGUAUGUGCCACCGCUGCAGGAACUUGAUCUCAGAUAACCUAUUGGUUCUCAGCCAGGUCACGUGACCCAGGUCUAGCUCACUCCACCAAUCCUCUUUGGGAAGGGAACAAUUGUUGAAGUCACUGCUGCCCCUUAUACUUGUCAGUUCUGCCCGAUCCCAGAAUGUGUCUGCCAGGGCCCCGCUAUUUAUAGAAUGGCUCCACUCCUGUCACUCAACACAGCUCAAUAUAGGCUCCACGCCAACUCAGCUCUCCAUUUGGCUCACUGACUCCAGAAUUCAAUGUAACUGUGUGCCUCCAAGUGAGUAGAAGCAGCAGGACUUCAGACGGCUCAGCAAGUCACAGCGGGACCCUGGCAAGUUGCGGCGGGACCCCUAGCCAGUCACGGGGGGACCCUGGCCAGUCGCAGGGGGGGCCUCAGCAAGUCACAGUGGGAACUCAGCCAGUUGUGGCAGGACCCCAGCAAAUCACAGCGUCAGCAAAUCACAGCGUCAACCAGUCGCAGUGGGACCUCAGAUGGAAGCUGAGGAGCAUCUGCCACUUGUGAUGUGGGGACUUAGUGUGGAAGGCCAAUCUAGGAAUGGAGGAAUCAUCUACCUAGGGCUGGAUCUAACAGAAGCCAUCCCCUCCCACAUGGAGACAGAUAGCAAAUGCCAACCAAAUGGUGCUCAGAUAUGUGAAACAAUAAAGAUUCUUGCAUUGGUUUGAUUUCAGA
Molecule: long non-coding RNA, 1245 nt
Organism: Cavia porcellus (domestic guinea pig)
Lineage: Eukaryota; Metazoa; Chordata; Mammalia; Rodentia; Caviidae
Exons: 2
Source: RefSeq, a predicted model, not a curated record